AUUGAACGCUGGCGGCAGGCCUAACACAUGCAAGUCGAGCGGAUGAAGGGAGCUUGCUCCUGGAUUCAGCGGCGGACGGGUGAGUAAUGCCUAGGAAUCUGCCCGGCAGUGGGGGAUAACGUCCGGAAACGGGCGCUAAUACCGCAUACGUCCUGAGGGAGAAAGUGGGGGAUCUUCGGACCUCACGCUAUCAGAUGAGCCUAGGUCGGAUUAGCUAGUUGGUGGGGUAAAGGCCUACCAAGGCGACGAUCCGUAACUGGUCUGAGAGGAUGAUCAGUCACACUGGAACUGAGACACGGUCCAGACUCCUACGGGAGGCAGCAGUGGGGAAUAUUCGACAAUGGGCGAAAGCCUGAUGCAGCCAUGCCGCGUGUGUGAAGAAGGUCUUCGGAUUGUAAAGCACUUUAAGUUGGGAGGAAGAGAAGUAAGUUAAUACAUUGCUGUUUUGACGUUACCAAAAGAGUAAGCACCGGCUAACUACGUG
Molecule: ribosomal RNA, 484 nt
Filed under: uncultured bacterium
Lineage: Bacteria
Description: partial 16S ribosomal RNA
Rfam family: Bacterial small subunit ribosomal RNA
Source: RNAcentral